AUGCAUGUCUAAGUAUAAGCAAUUAUACCGCGAAACUGCGAAUGGCUCAUUAAAUCAGUUAUCGUUUAUUUGAUAGUACCUUACUACAUGGAUAACCGUGGUAAUUCUAGAGCUAAUACAUGCUGAAAAUCCCGACUCACGGAGGGAUGUAUUUAUUAGAUUAAAAACCAAUGCCCUUCGGGGCUCUCUGGUGAUUCAUAAUAACUUCUCGAAUCGCAUGGCCUUGCGCCGGCGAUGGUUCAUUCAAAUUUCUGCCCUAUCAACUUUCGACGGCUGGGUCUUGGCCAGCCGUGGUGACAACGGGUAACGGAGGGUUAGGGCUCGACCCCGGAGAAGGAGCCUGAGAAACGGCUACUACAUCCAAGGAAGGCAGCAGGCGCGCAAAUUACCCAAUCCCGACACGGGGAGGUAGUGACAAUAAAUACUGAUACAGGGCUCUUUCGGGUCUUGUAAUUGGAAUGAGUACAAUUUAAAUCCCUUAACGAGGAACAAUUGGAGGGCAAGUCUGGUGCCAGCAGCCGCGGUAAUUCCAGCUCCAAUAGCGUAUAUUAAAGUUGUUGAGGUUAAAAAGCUCGUAGUUGAACCUUGGGCCUAGCCGGCCGGUCCGCCUCACCGCGUGCACUGGCUCGGCUGGGUCUUUCCUUCUGGAUAACCUCAUGCCCUUCACUGGGUGUGCUGGGGACCAGGACUUUUACUCUGAACAAAUUAGAUCGCUUAAAGAAGGCCUUUGCUCGAAUACAUUAGCAUGGAAUAAUAGAAUAGGACGUGUGGUUCUAUUUUGUUGGUUUCUAGGACCGCCGUAAUGAUUAAUAGGGACAGUCGGGGGCAUCAGUAUUCAAUUGUCAGAGGUGAAAUUCUUGGAUUUAUUGAAGACUAACUACUGCGAAAGCAUUUGCCAAGGAUGUUUUCAUUAAUCAGGAACGAAAGUUAGGGGAUCGAAGACGAUCAGAUACCGUCGUAGUCUUAACCAUAAACUAUG
This 979-nucleotide ribosomal RNA is filed under the name Humicola seminuda. Its description in RNAcentral is "SSU rRNA". It matches the Rfam family "Eukaryotic small subunit ribosomal RNA", at positions 51 to 1041 of the family's 1831-position model. The record is from RNAcentral. Lineage: Eukaryota; Fungi; Ascomycota; Sordariomycetes; Sordariales; Chaetomiaceae.